Molecule: transfer RNA, 76 nt
Filed under: Pseudomonadota bacterium
Lineage: Bacteria; Pseudomonadati; Pseudomonadota
Also listed under: 1 other name
Description: tRNA-Cys
Rfam family: tRNA
About the family: Transfer RNA (tRNA) molecules are approximately 80 nucleotides in length. Their secondary structure includes four short double-helical elements and three loops (D, anti-codon, and T loops).
Source: RNAcentral
GGCGUGGUACCCAAGUGGCUAAGGGAGCGGUCUGCAAAACCGCUAUUCACCGGUUCGAAUCCGGUCCACGCCUCCA